GAUCCUGUAGCUCACUUGGAUAGAGCGGCCGCCUCCUAAGCGGCAGGUAGUGCGUUCGAAUCGCAUCUGGAUCA
This 74-nucleotide transfer RNA is filed under the name Treponema sp. RNAcentral's name for it is "tRNA-Arg". It matches the Rfam family "tRNA". From Rfam's summary of the family: Transfer RNA (tRNA) molecules are approximately 80 nucleotides in length. Their secondary structure includes four short double-helical elements and three loops (D, anti-codon, and T loops). Further hydrogen bonds mediate the characteristic L-shaped molecular structure. tRNAs have two regions of fundamental functional importance: the anti-codon, which is responsible for specific mRNA codon recognition, and the 3' end, to which the tRNAs corresponding amino acid is attached (by aminoacyl-tRNA synthetases). tRNAs cope with the degeneracy of the genetic code in two manners: having more than one tRNA (with a specific anti-codon) for a particular amino acid; and 'wobble' base-pairing, i.e. permitting non-standard base-pairing at the 3rd anti-codon position. Lineage: Bacteria; Pseudomonadati; Spirochaetota; Spirochaetia; Treponematales; Treponemataceae. The record is from RNAcentral.